GCAGCCACGUGUCAAAAAGAGGUAAUUAUAGCCUCUGUACACACAUAUAAAACUUAAGCAAAUGCACCCAGCAGAGAGCUGAGGAUUAGGAACGAGAUGGAGAUGUCAUCCAAUCGUCACCAUGGCGCACAAUGUGCAGAAUGGGUUUGAAAAAAAAAUGCAACCGGUGAUAGGUGCUUUCAAUAAAUAAAUUUCCACAGUGCAGGAGUGACUUCAGCAGCGACAGCCCAAAGACAGCUUGUGCCGAGGAACAUCAACACCUUGACUCCAAAAUCUAAUUAUGUGUCACAUGGAGCUUAUGUUGAAGCCUAUAUUGUUUUUCUUAGUUUAACACACGUGGAAGUCGCUUAAAGAUAAUUAUGGCAAAUAGCUCAAAACUAGUCAAAUCACUCCUCUAACAGCAGCUACUCUGACUUGUUUGUUGCUGUGUGGUUGUUUGCAAUAAAAUAAAAAUAAGUAGGCAACAUCUGAGAUGAGAACAUCUGCAACGUUUCCACAGUUGAAAGCCCGCCGUCCCUCCCUUCUCCCCUCUGUCUGUCCACAGACAUUCUUGACAAACCCUGUCUUUCGACACUCCCAUGAGCUAAUGCUCUGUCGCGAGGAAGCCACCAGCUUUGAGUUGCAGAUAUAGGGGAGGGGGAGGAAAGAGGCAAGGAGGAAACACAGGGGACCUGAGGAGUGUUUAGGAGGAAGAUGGCUGUCAGUAGCUGUCAAUCGUUGACUUUUUGAUGCCAUCGUCUUGGCACAGGCCUGUCUGUCUCGCGGUGCAGCAGCUAUCAAAGACUCACUCACAGCAGACAGACGCUGGGAUGGAAACACAAGAAGAUCUGCACAUUCUCUCAUUUCCACCUGGCACACAAACUCCGUCAAAUCUGCGGAUUGCGAUGAAGCCCGUCCCUUCACCUGAUCUUCUCGAAACUCAAAGAGCAUAAAGAAAGACUUGAUUGGAAGCAAAUUAACAGAAAAAGGUGAUUAGAGUCCAGUUGCACUGAUGUAUUUGUUACUUAUUUAUUAUUAAACUGUUGCUUUGCACUGCAUAUCAAUGGUCUAGGCAGACACACUUCCUUAUGCUGAACCAUCACCUUAUUACACACCUGAUAUGUAACUUGAUUAUAAACAAAGCGCAGGCUGACACAUUUUUUAGCAUAUACAAAAAUUAUGCAUGGUUGUCAAUUUUCAUGUGAAUGUCUAUGAUUUGUACAUUUUAUGCAAAUAUAAGAGCAGAAUUAAACUAAAGUCUAUUGCCG
Poecilia latipinna (sailfin molly) is the source of this 1247-nucleotide long non-coding RNA. RefSeq lists it as uncharacterized. The record is from RefSeq and is a predicted model, not a curated record. The transcript has 2 exons. NCBI's taxonomy places the organism in Eukaryota, Metazoa, Chordata, Actinopteri, Cyprinodontiformes, Poeciliidae.